GACGAACCGAGCGAACGUUAUUCGGAAUCACUGGGCUUAAAGGGCGCGUAGGCGGAUCGUCAAGUCAGGGGUGAAAGCCCGCGGCUCAACCGCGGAAGUGCCUUUGAUACUGGCGGUCUUGAGGGAGGUAGGGGCGUGCGGAACUUCCGGUGGAGCGGUGAAAUGCGUAGAUAUCGGAAGGAACACCGGUGGCGAAAGCGGCGCGCUGGACCUCUUCUGACGCUGAGGCGCGAAAGCCAGGGGAGCGAACGGG
This 253-nucleotide ribosomal RNA is filed under the name uncultured bacterium. RNAcentral describes it as "partial 16S ribosomal RNA". It matches the Rfam family "Bacterial small subunit ribosomal RNA", at positions 524 to 776 of the family's 1533-position model. The record is from RNAcentral.